AGCAGCGUAGCUGAACAUCUUACGGAUGGCCCAGGGCUCCAAAGGCUCGUUUCCUAAGUGAGAGAGAGCCUGGCUGAAGCUGUAUUACCAUUCAUUCUCCAGCCUCCGAAGUCUCAAAGCAUCACUUCCACCAUACUCUAACUGUCAAGACAAACACAAAGGCCCAGAAACUGCCAGACUGUCUUCCGAAGUGGCUAUAAUAUUUACACUCACAUCAGCAGUGUAGAAGGGGUCUCACUAUGUUGUCUGGAGUGCAGUGGCUGGAGUGGAGUGGCUAUUCACAGAGCCUGUUCUGCUGGGACACAGAAUCACUUGCUCCAUCUCAUACAUUGAUGAUGAUUAAUUUGUAUGUGUACCUUCCAAAAAAAGAUGGUUGUGUUUGAACGGAGGCCUUCUGGACAGGAAAAUAUGGAGAGUGCGUGCUUUGGAUUCAAGACUGGGAAUGAGGGGACCAGAAACCUAUUCUGUGGCUGUUUCUUGUUAGGACUUUCCUAAGCCUCUGGAAAAGACUAAUCUUUCCAAGUUCAUCUGAGGCUCCUCUUCUCCAUGACAACCUCAUCCAGGGAUUUCUUCCUGUCCUGGUGUUUU
This 588-nucleotide long non-coding RNA is filed under the name Pan troglodytes (chimpanzee). Its description in RNAcentral is "lincRNA". Lineage: Eukaryota; Metazoa; Chordata; Mammalia; Primates; Hominidae. The record is from RNAcentral.